Molecule: ribosomal RNA, 529 nt
Filed under: uncultured bacterium
Lineage: Bacteria
Description: bacterial SSU rRNA
Rfam family: Bacterial small subunit ribosomal RNA
Source: RNAcentral
AAUAGAUACCCCGGUAGUCCACGCCGUAAACGAUGAGUGCUAAGUGUUAGAGGGUUUCCGCCCUUUAGUGCUGCAGCUAACGCAUUAAGCACUCCGCCUGGGGAGUACGGCCGCAAGGCUGAAACUCAAAGGAAUUGACGGGGGCCCGCACAAGCGGUGGAGCAUGUGGUUUAAUUCGAAGCAACGCGAAGAACCUUACCAGGUCUUGACAUCUCCUGGCAAUCCUAGAGAUAGGACGUUCCCCUUCGGGGGACAGGAUGACAGGUGGUGCAUGGUUGUCGUCAGCUCGUGUCGUGAGAUGUUGGGUUAAGUCCCGCAACGAGCGCAACCCUUGAUCUUAGUUGCCAGCAUUCAGUUGGGCACUCUAAGGUGACUGCCGGUGACAAACCGGAGGAAGGUGGGGAUGACGUCAAAUCAUCAUGCCCCUUAUGACCUGGGCUACACACGUGCUACAAUGGAUGGUACAAAGGGCUGCAAAACCGCGAGGUUAAGCCAAUCCCAUAAAACCAUUCUCAGUUCGGAUUGCAGG